AACCUGGUUGAUCCUGCCAGUAGUCAUAUGCUUGUCUCAAAGACUAAGCCAUGCAUGUCUAAGUAUAAAUGGCAUACAGUAAAACUGCGAAUGGCUCAUUAAAACAGUUAUAGUUUAUUUGGUAAUCGAAUUUACAUGGAUAACCGUGGUAAUUCUAGAGCUAAUACAUGCUGUAAAGCCCGACUUCUCGGAAGGGCCGUGUUUAUUAGAUAACAGACCAACAGCUUCGGCUAUUGUGGUGAAUCAUAGUAACUAAUCGGAUCGCAUGGGCUAGUCCCGCGACAAACCAUUCAAGUUUCUGCCCCAUCAGCUUUCGACGGUAGUGUAUUGGACUACCGAGGCUUUUACGGGUAACGGAGGAUUAGGGUUCGAUUCUGGAGAGGGAGCCUGAGAAACGGCUACCACAUCUAAGGAAGGCAGCAGGCGCGUAAAUUACCCAAUUCUGAUUCAGAGAGGUAGUGACAAGAAAUAACGGGUCGGGACUUUGUCCCGGGACUGCAAUGAGAUGAACUUAUACCCCUUUUCGAGUAACAAUUGGAGGGCAAGUCUGGUGCCAGCAGCCGUGGUAAUUCCAGCUCCAAUAGCGUAUAUUAAAGUUGUUGCAGUUAAAAGCUCGUAGUGGAUUCUGGCAGGAUGACUUGCC
This 643-nucleotide ribosomal RNA is filed under the name uncultured marine eukaryote. Its description in RNAcentral is "SSU rRNA". It matches the Rfam family "Eukaryotic small subunit ribosomal RNA", at positions 1 to 657 of the family's 1831-position model. The record is from RNAcentral.